RNAcentral lists this long non-coding RNA (1336 nucleotides) under Struthio camelus australis. RNAcentral describes it as "lncRNA (ENSSCUG00000018199.1)". Lineage: Eukaryota; Metazoa; Chordata; Aves; Struthioniformes; Struthionidae. The record is from RNAcentral.
CAAGCACAGCUGGAGCCGUGCUCUCCCCUCGCAGCUGGGAGGGGAACGGCCAGCGCCGCCGACAGCGAGCCGAGGGGCUGCCAGGAGGAGGGGCGCAAACACUGGGGGCUCCCGCGGGGCCGGAGGCGGCCCAGGCUGCACCAGGCCUUCCCCAGCACCUGCUGGCAGACAGCCGGGCCGGGCUUUCAGGGGUGCUUUCAGCCGGCGCUGCAGCCUGGCAGCUGCAGAAAAGCCUCAAGCUUGCUUCUGUGUCCCCCCAACCCCCGAACCCCCCCCCCCCCCAAUGCCCCCACUCAGAUCCCUGAGAACAUCCUCUGGACAGAAAUAGCCCCUGGCAAUCUUCUGCGCUCUCCGGGCUGCAGAGCCCAUGUACCAAUGGUGGCCUCUUGGAGCUGAGCCUCUCUUCUAGUCCUGGCUGGUGCCUGGGCUCCCAGAGCUCAUCCGCUUCCAUUCUCCGGCCUGUUGGCUUGAGAGGACUCGUAAGGCCUGGGAUGCAGAAUACUCGAUUGCCCAGCUGGUUGCUGUGGCGAUGGAGGUCUGGUUUGCAUCCUGCUCUGAAUGUUUCCGCUGCUGCCAUCUGCCACACAACUGAGUCCUUGCUGGCAAGAAGUAUAGUCGGGGCUCAGGCAUAGCAAGCCUGGCUCAGGUAGAAAUCUGGACAGUGCUGGGAAGCAUGGGUCUCCCCAGAGCCCACCCAGGCAGGACGGCAGUGAAAUCAUUCCUCGGCGUAGGCCAGGACCCGGAAAGGUGGAGCCAGAAGAGGAUUUAAACCUUAAGACUGACAUUCUCUUGGUGAUGCCUUGGGUAUUUCUAGGCUGUAGUCGGCAGAAAUCUUUUGUUCCGUGGCCUUUUCGAAAACACGAAGGCGUGACAAGUGACCUGUUCUGUGCAACCAGGGCGCUCUGUGAGCUCCUUCAGCAGUGCAGCCGCUCGCAGGAGGUGAAGGCCUUUUUCUCCCGCCUCUGCCUGGCCCUGCUCUUCCAGAUUGCCUUCACGGCAGAGCUCACGCCGCAAGACCUUGCUGUCUUCCGGAGGCAAUGCCACCGAUGGGACCCGUGCACUCCCACCAGCCCUGUCAGGUGCCCCCUCCCGCUUCCUCCAUCCCUCGCAUGCACCUGGAGCCAGGGCCGGGCUCCCAGUGUGAGCUAGCCUUUGCUCUGCGCACAGCUCUGCAGUGCAGACCCUGGAGUCUCUUUUCUGCUGCGCUGGCUACGAGCAUCAAGCCCUGCUCAUCAGGCAGCAGGGUGGCUGGCACAUGCUUCUCAGCGCUGAGGCCCUGCACUUGGGAGUCAUUGUAGUGGCCAGGUGAGAGCCCUCUUAGGCCAGCUCUGUGCCG